GACGAACGCUGGCGGCGUGCCUAACACAUGCAAGUCGAACGGGGUAAAGACUUCGGUUUUUACUUAGUGGCGAACGGGUGAGUAACGCGUGAGAAACCUGCCUUUCAGUGGGGGACAACAGUUGGAAACGACUGCUAAUACCGCAUAAUGUUAUUUGGGGGCAUCCCUGGAUAACCAAAGAUUUAUUGCUGAAAGAUGGUCUCGCGUCUGAUUAGCUAGUUGGUGAGGUAACGGCUCACCAAGGCGACGAUCAGUAGCCGGUCUGAGAGGAUGAACGGCCACAUUGGGACUGAGAUACGGCCCAGACUCCUACGGGAGGCAGCAGUGGGGAAUAUUGGGCGAAUGGGGGAAACCCUGACCCAGCAACGCCGCGUGAAGGAAGAA
This 384-nucleotide ribosomal RNA is filed under the name uncultured bacterium. Its description in RNAcentral is "bacterial SSU rRNA". It matches the Rfam family "Bacterial small subunit ribosomal RNA", at positions 28 to 412 of the family's 1533-position model. The record is from RNAcentral.